GCUCGUAGUUGGAUUUCUGGCAGGGUGACUCUGCCCUCUUGAUGAGUGCGCAGUGUUGCCCUACCAUCCUUCUGUUAACCCUUUAGGCCUUAAAAAGUCUUUUGGGGGCUCAGAUAUUUUACCUUGAGAAAAUUAGAGUGUUUCAGGCAGGCUAGCGCCGGAAUACAUUAGCAUGGAAUAAUAGAAUAGGACUUUUACCUCUUCUGUUGGUCUGAGGGGUUCAAGUAAUGAUUAAUAGGGAUAGUUGGGGGCAUUAGUACUUUACUGUCAGAGGUGAAAUUCUCGGAUUUGUAAAAGACUAACUUAUGCGAAAGCAUUUGCCAAGGAUGUUUUCAUUAAUCAAGAACGAAAGUUAGGGGGAUCAAAAUACGAUCAGAUACCGUAGUAGUCUUUAACCAUUAAACUAUGCCGACUCGGGAUCGGGGGGCGAGAGUUAUCCGCCUUUCGGACCCGUAUGAGAAAAUCAAAGCCUUUGGGUUCUGGGGGGAGUAUGGGCCGCAAGCUUGAAACUUAAGGGAAUUGACGGAAGGCAACCACCAGGGUGGAGGUUUGCGCUUCAUUUUGACUCAACACGGGAAACCUAACCAGGUCCAGAC
RNAcentral lists this ribosomal RNA (596 nucleotides) under uncultured eukaryote. Its description in RNAcentral is "bacterial SSU rRNA". It matches the Rfam family "Eukaryotic small subunit ribosomal RNA", at positions 626 to 1229 of the family's 1831-position model. The record is from RNAcentral.